UACGUAGGGUGCAAGCAUUAUCCGGAAUUAUUGGGCGUAAAGAGUUUGUAGGCGGCGAAUUAAGUAGGGGGUAAAAUCUCCGGGCCCAACCCGGAACCUGUCUCCUAAACUGGUUUGCUAGAGGUAUGUAGAGGCAAGUGGAAUUUCCGGUGUAGGGGUAAAAUCCGUUGAGAUCGGAAGGAACGCCAAAAGCGAAGGCAGCUUGCUGGACAUACCUGACGCUGAGAAACGAAAGCGUGGGGAGCAAACAGG
Molecule: ribosomal RNA, 252 nt
Filed under: uncultured bacterium
Lineage: Bacteria
Description: partial 16S ribosomal RNA
Rfam family: Bacterial small subunit ribosomal RNA
Source: RNAcentral